ACACAUGCAAGUCAACUUGAAUUUGGGUUUUUAACUUAGAUUUGGGUGGCGGACGGGUGAGUAACGCGUAAAGAACUUGCCUCACAGCUAGGGACAACAUUUAGAAAUGAAUGCUAAUACCUGAUAUUAUGAUUUUAAGGCAUCUUAGAAUUAUGAAAGCUAUAAGCACUGUGAGAGAGCUUUGCGUCCCAUUAGCUAGUUGGAGAGGUAACAGCUCGCCAAGGCGAUGAUGGGUAGCCGGCCUGAGAGGGUGAACGGCCACAAGGGGACUGAGACACGGCCCUUACUCCUACGGGAGGCAGCAGUGGGGAAUAUUGGACAAUGGACCGAGAGUCUGAUCCAGCAAUUCUGUGUGCACGAUGAAGUUUUUCGGAAUGUAAAGUGCUUUCAGUUGGGAAGAAAGAAAUGACGGUACCAACAGAAGAAGUGACGGCUAAAUACGUGCCAGCAGCCGCGGUAAUACGUAUGUCACGAGCGUUAUCCGGAUUUAUUGGGCGUAAAGCGCGUCUAGGUGGUUAUGUAAGUCUGAUGUGAAAAUGCAGGGCUCAACUCUGUAUUGCGUUGGAAACUGUAUAACUAGAGUACUGGAGAGGUAAGCGGAACUACAAGUGUAGAGGUGAAAUUCGUAGAUAUUUGUAGGAAUGCCGAUGGGGAAGCCAGCUUACUGGACAGAUACUGACGCUAAAGCGCGAAAGCGUGGGUAGCAAACAGGAUUAGAUACCCUGGUAGUCCACGCUGUAAACGAUGAUUACUAGGUGUUGGGGGUCGAACCUCAGCGCCCAAGCAAACGCGAUAAGUAAUCCGCCUGGGGAGUACGUACGCA
This 823-nucleotide ribosomal RNA is filed under the name uncultured bacterium. RNAcentral describes it as "bacterial SSU rRNA". It matches the Rfam family "Bacterial small subunit ribosomal RNA", at positions 51 to 890 of the family's 1533-position model. The record is from RNAcentral.